AGGUUGACCUCGGAUCAGGUAGGGAUACCCGCUGAACUUAAGCAUAUCAAUAAGCGGAGGAAAAGAAACCAACCGGGAUUGCCCUAGUAACGGCGAGUGAAGCGGCAAGAGCUCAAAUUUGAAAGCUGGCUCCUUCGGGGUCCGCAUUGUAAUUUGCAGAGGAUGCUUCGGGAACGGCCCCCAUCUAAGUGCCCUGGAACGGGCCGUCAUAGAGGGUGAGAAUCCCGUCUGGGAUGGGGUGUCCGCGCCCGUGUGAAGCUCCUUCGACGAGUCGAGUUGUUUGGGAAUGCAGCUCUAAUUGGGUGGUAAAUUUCAUCUAAAGCUAAAUAUUGGCCGGAGACCGAUAGCGCACAAGUAGAGUGAUCGAAAGAUGAAAAGCACUUUGAAAAGAGAGUUAAACAGCACGUGAAAUUGUUGAAAGGGAAGCGCUUGCGACCAGACUCGCCCGCGGGGUUCAGCCGGCAUUCGUGCCGGUGUACUUCCCCGCGGGCGGGCCAGCGUCGGUUUGGGCGGCCGGUCAAAGGCCCCUGGAAUGUAACGCCUCUCGGGGCGUCUUAUAGCCAGGGGUGCCAUGCGGCCUGCCCGGACCGAGGAACGCGCUUCGGCUCGGACGCUGGCAUAAUGGUCGUAAGCGACC
Molecule: ribosomal RNA, 637 nt
Filed under: Penicillium tropicum
Lineage: Eukaryota; Fungi; Ascomycota; Eurotiomycetes; Eurotiales; Aspergillaceae
Description: eukaryotic LSU rRNA
Rfam family: Eukaryotic large subunit ribosomal RNA
Source: RNAcentral